UUGUAUAUCUUUAAUAACACCUUGAGAAAGACUAACGAUGAAAGUAAUGUUUCAGCAUUUUAAUAUAUUACAUUAUUAUGAUAUAAGGGAAGCCUAGGAGAUUUUCCACGGGUUAAGCCAAUCUAUCCACCUACAAAAUAUCCAACGUAAGGAAGGUCCAGCAUCCACCCCACAUCCCAAGGAAUCAGCCACAAAGACAACGGGCAAUAAACUAUAUAAGGAAAGAAAAAGAAUCUCAACCAUCAAAAGUCUGGACCGCAACUUUUACUAAUCAUAAUACCAGAUAACUUAGCGAGCCCAUGAUACUGAAUCAAUCUCGUCCCUCGAGGCCUUGUAUAAUUCAAGCCUUUUCGCACACU
This 359-nucleotide unclassified non-coding RNA is filed under the name Hevea brasiliensis (rubber tree). Lineage: Eukaryota; Viridiplantae; Streptophyta; Magnoliopsida; Malpighiales; Euphorbiaceae. The record is from RNAcentral.